UGCUUGCUUGCCUUUGGCAAUUCAGGGAGUGGUUCGUCUGGUACCGUCGAGUCUUUGCUAACGUGAGGGCGUGUGAGUGGCGAUCGGGAUGUCUGUGCUGUCUGGCUCCAUGGUGAUGGUCAUGGAACUGUCAGCACGCAACCCUUCUCAGGUUGGCCUUGUGUCGUCGCGGCCUCGACGUUCACUUGUGGUUCUUGUGUUGCCUACCCGUUUAGCGGUAUUCAUGUGCCUCUUAAGACCCGUUCCAUCCAGACCCUCUCUAGAGGCUGCUGGGGAUUCGAAAGUGAUGCGCGUUUUGCGGUGACGGCUCUCGUGCUCACAUGUGUCUAUUGUUCCCUUGGAUGCGGUGCAUGCGGUGAACGUGGGCUGACCAUUGUGCCCCGUUGAGUCCCUUUGAUUUAUCGGUUGCCUUGAAUGACACUUUGCCGUAGUGCUGGUCUUGCUAUGCCAUUCGUGGUUGCAACACUUGCACGUGGAGCAGAGUCGUUGAUGG
Molecule: unclassified non-coding RNA, 493 nt
Filed under: Anarthrophyllum cumingii
Lineage: Eukaryota; Viridiplantae; Streptophyta; Magnoliopsida; Fabales; Fabaceae
Description: partial external transcribed spacer
Source: RNAcentral